Diabrotica virgifera virgifera (western corn rootworm) is the source of this 942-nucleotide long non-coding RNA. RefSeq lists it as uncharacterized. The record is from RefSeq and is a predicted model, not a curated record. The transcript has 3 exons. NCBI's taxonomy places the organism in Eukaryota, Metazoa, Arthropoda, Insecta, Coleoptera, Chrysomelidae.
UAUCGAGGUUCCACUGUACUUGAUUACGUCAAGUUUUGUUUUUGUUUGUAGAAAUGGAAUCAUAGAUGAGUGGAAUGGAAUAUUUAUAAUAUAAUAUAGCUUGAAAUCUGCAGAACAGAGUAAAACUACUCAUAUAUUAUGUUCCUGCUACUUUUAUAAAGAAGAUAAAGAAAAUCUUCUCUAAUCAUAUUUUCAAAUAAGACUGGUGAAGAUGCUGAAGAAAUGCAGUAGCACUAUCUUGUGUGUAAAUCCUUGAUUUUGUGUAAUUUAUAAAAUUGAAAGCAAUAUGAUAUGACCAACAAGGAGUCUUUAUAAACAACAAGUCUUUAUAAAAACAACAAGUCUUUAUAAAAAAAAUGUGUAUCACAGUGUGAAACUACAAGUACGAACAUUACAUCUCAGAAAUGUUUACCACUGUUUUUUUUGGUUUUAUUCAAUGGAUGAUUUAAUGGAUUGUAGAUCUAGACCCUCUACAUCUUAAUUACCACUUGAAAGUCAACCAGAAUCAUCUCAUUCAAGUGGUAUCACAUCAAGUAGUGCACAACAAGACACAGAAAUGUAUUUUCUUGAAUAAGAGAAUACUCGGCUGAAACUAAAAUUAGAUAAUUUGUCAAAUAUAGAUUUCCAUUUCAGCAUAUCAAGAAUGAUCAUAAUUUAGUGGAAGUGUACAUGGGAAUAAUAACUAAUGUAUAUACUGUGUAAUAUUAUCAUGGAUGGGUGAAAUAUCACAGUUUUAACAAAAAAGAAUGUGUUUUAUUUUGUACGCACCUAAGAAGUUAUAGUAUUUUUACUACAAAAGCGAUAUUACGUAGGUCAAAAUUUUUGACGUAAGAGAACUGUCAAAACAUUAGUAUGUGACUUUUCAUUAUUGACUAUAUUCAAUUGCCAUGUUUAUAAUAAACAUGGCAAUAAUGAAAAGUCACAUUCUAAUGUUUUGACAGU